UUAUUAGGAAGAUUUUCAAAAGCAAACUGUAUAAACUUGUUCACUCCUUCCUUAUACUCUCUACUCAAACGGUUAGAAUUCAUCCAACUACGAUCCAUAACUACUACGUACUUCUGAAAAGAAAAAAAAGAUACUAAAACAGCAAGAAUGCGAUAAUUAAUUAUCAGGUGAAAAUGGUUCUAAUCGUAAAGGGGUUAAGUCAAAGAACAAAACAACUAAAAUUUAUAAACACUACAAUAAUCACCUAAACAUCAAAUAUGAUCAAGUGGCUGCACCACUCCAAGUGUUGUCAAAUAUCAGUGGCAUAACAUAUUGUGGUGGCUAAUUUUUUGACAACCGCCGUGGCCGGUUUGUGAAGGAUGGCAGCACUAUAGUGUUUUAUGGCGCAUAUGGCUGGUUAUAAUGACGAGUUUUUGGUUUUCGGCGGCGAUGUUUGCAACGUGUAACGACCCAAAUUUAUUAUUCACUAUUUAAGUGUUUAAUUAUUUGGUGAUAUGGUUUUUAAGUAAGAUAGUAACUUU
Molecule: long non-coding RNA, 521 nt
Filed under: Trifolium pratense (red clover)
Lineage: Eukaryota; Viridiplantae; Streptophyta; Magnoliopsida; Fabales; Fabaceae
Description: long non-coding RNA (TPRA_LNC010722)
Source: RNAcentral